Molecule: small RNA, 481 nt
Filed under: Incrucipulum longispineum
Lineage: Eukaryota; Fungi; Ascomycota; Leotiomycetes; Helotiales; Lachnaceae
Description: eukaryotic LSU rRNA
Rfam family: 5.8S ribosomal RNA (bases 130-283)
Source: RNAcentral
UUCAUGCCCUCACGGGUAGAUCUCCCACCCUUGUGAAUCUCAUUAUCUGUUGCUUUGGCGGGCUCACCCCCGCCAGAGGACCCUUAAACUCUGAAUGUUAGUGUCGUCUGAGUACUAUAUAAUAGUUAAAACUUUCAACAACGGAUCUCUUGGUUCUGGCAUCGAUGAAGAACGCAGCGAAAUGCGAUAAGUAAUGUGAAUUGCAGAAUUCAGUGAAUCAUCGAAUCUUUGAACGCACAUUGCGCCCCUUGGUAUUCCGGGGGGCAUGCCUGUUCGAGCGUCAUUAAUACCAAUCUAGCCUCGCUAGGUGUUGGGCCUCGCCGUCUGGCGGGCCUUAAAACCAGUGGCGGUGCCUCCAGGCUCUACGCGUAGUAACUUUCUCGCUAUGGACCUCUGGAGGACGCUGGCCAGCAACCCCUAAUUUUUUCAGGUUGACCUCGGAUCAGGUAGGGAUACCCGCUGAACUUAAGCAUAUCAAUAA